This 929-nucleotide long non-coding RNA is filed under the name Suricata suricatta (meerkat). RNAcentral's name for it is "lncRNA (ENSSSUG00005022734.1)". Lineage: Eukaryota; Metazoa; Chordata; Mammalia; Carnivora; Herpestidae. The record is from RNAcentral.
GGGGGAGCAGGAGGCUUUGAGGGACGCAGCCCUUGGCUGAGGAAGGCGGUGAAGGGAAACAGGGAUCUGGACGCUGACCGUGGGGCAGCCGUGCCGCUGUCGUCCGCGGGGACGUGGUCCAGGGCGAAGAGGCUGAAGCGGCGGUCGUGCUGGCGAAGGCAGGACAGCGGGGCGGAGGCCAGCCUCCUGGCCACACCGAGUCAGCGGAUGGGGGUCGGGGAAGGUGGUCCAGGGAUCCAACGUGAGUUGACUGCAGAUUCCUGGUGAAGAGUGACGUCCGCUGGGGAAGGCCAGUAAUCAGUCUGAGGACACAGCUGCUCUGAUCGAGGGCAGUGGGGGGCGCCCGAGAGCUUCCGGCCCUGACCCUGGAGCGCCCAGGUGGAAAGAUCCAGGCGUGGCAGACGGGGCCCCAGCUGGUGGGGAGGUCUGGCAGGAGGGAGGGUCUCCUGGGCCUCUGUGCGCUGGGCAAGUCCCCACCUCUCAGGUCCCUCUUUUGCCAGAUGGAGGCUCUGUGGCCCCUGCCUCUCCAGAGGGACAGGGACGGGAAACGGGAAGGAGACACCACUUGUGGGAAGGCUUGGGACACGUGGGAAACCCCGGCCGUAAAUCAGCCUUCGUCCCCACUGGCAUCCUUUUCCCACUCCUGGACGCCUCACCUUAUUCACGUCCGACUCAAGGUCACCGGAGACUAAAGAGCUGGGCUGCAAGGAGAGCUCAGGCUCGGUCCAUCCCUCCUCACUAGCCAGGCAGGCGCAUGUGCACACGUGCACACACAGAACCCCGGGCCCGCCCCCUGCCCCUUGCCACUGCCCAUUGGAUGGAGCCCUUGGGGGAAGUUCCUGGACAUCGGGACGAAGCAGAGCAGAAAUGAAAUAACCACCAGAUUUGCAGCAUGUUACCUGUUUUUAUUAAAAAUCAAUGACACGAUA